This 366-nucleotide ribosomal RNA is filed under the name Brevibacterium aureum. RNAcentral's name for it is "bacterial SSU rRNA". It matches the Rfam family "Bacterial small subunit ribosomal RNA", at positions 352 to 730 of the family's 1533-position model. Lineage: Bacteria; Bacillati; Actinomycetota; Actinomycetes; Micrococcales; Brevibacteriaceae. The record is from RNAcentral.
CAGUGGGGAAUAUUGCACAAUGGGGGAAACCCUGAUGCAGCGACGCAGCGUGCGGGAUGACGGCCUUCGGGUUGUAAACCGCUUUCAGCAGGGAAGAAGCGAAAGUGACGGUACCUGCAGAAGAAGUACCGGCUAACUACGUGCCAGCAGCCGCGGUAAUACGUAGGGUACGAGCGUUGUCCGGAAUUAUUGGGCGUAAAGAGCUCGUAGGUGGUUGGUCACGUCUGCUGUGGAAACGCAACGCUUAACGUUGCGCGGGCAGUGGGUACGGGCUGACUAGAGUGCAGUAGGGGAGUCUGGAAUUCCUGGUGUAGCGGUGAAAUGCGCAGAUAUCAGGAGGAACACCGGUGGCGAAGGCGGGACUCU